This 308-nucleotide long non-coding RNA is filed under the name Phascolarctos cinereus (koala). RNAcentral's name for it is "lncRNA (ENSPCIG00000032410.1)". The record is from RNAcentral. Lineage: Eukaryota; Metazoa; Chordata; Mammalia; Diprotodontia; Phascolarctidae.
CUCGAACAGGAAGCGCUGCGUGGCGACUUCGUGAGAAGGAGGUUUGCUGACUGCAAAAAAGGUGCGUCAGAAGAAGCAGACUGGGGCCCUGAACCUCAUGGCAGAAGAGAUAGCGAAGGCAGUGUAUAAUCAGGUCCAAAGAACAUUCAUAAUCAAAUUAUGAAUCAUCCUCAAUGCUCAUGGCUGCCUUCAUGCUUCACUUCAUGAAACAACAUGUAGAGAUUGCUAUGUGCAUCAAUAGAGGAGCAUGAGAAGCAAGACUAACACAUGUGGAUGCUUGAAUAACUUCUUUUGAGACUCAGCUCACA